RNAcentral lists this long non-coding RNA (1384 nucleotides) under Salmo salar (Atlantic salmon). RNAcentral describes it as "lncRNA (ENSSSAG00000108754.1)". Lineage: Eukaryota; Metazoa; Chordata; Actinopteri; Salmoniformes; Salmonidae. The record is from RNAcentral.
CUACAAUGUAGAAAAUAGUAAAAACAAAGAAAAACUCUUAAAUGAGGAGGUGUGUCCAAACUUUUGACUGGUACUGUAUCUGCUGGGCUUCUUGCGGUAAAUUAUUUGUAAUUAUGUUCUGUCUCCCUGACCAUCCGCUCAAGAAAAAAAUCCGCCGGCGGCUGUUUUUAGUUGAUGAUCCCUGCUGUAUGUUCUACUAGGACCUUAUCCAUAGCUAAGAUUCUGUGUGUCUGUUGUUAAAGGGAUAAUUCCCCCAAAUUACACAAUUGUCCGUACCCUAUAAGCAGUCUAUUGACAAGGUAAGUCCAUGCUUUGGUUUUGUUAAUCUGGCCACUGCCAUAGACUGCUUAUGAGGUAAGGAAACCAAUAUAACAGUUUGUAAUUUGGUGAACUAUCCAUUUAAUGUUUUUAUGACUUAUUUUGGUAACUUAGUCAUUCUGAAUAUCAAAUAAUUUCAUGAUUCCCAUGAUCAAGAUUCCUUGUCGCUAUUUUAUUUGAUUCAUUUAUUGUAAUAAGUUGGUACAUGAUGCUUUCAUUAUUUGUUAUUCUCUAGAAAGAACCCUGGCUAUUGUUUUCUGUUGAUUAGAUUUUUUUUUUAAAGUAUUUAAAUUUUUUUCUCUUUCACAGCCCAAUUGUGAUUCAUGGAAUAAGGUUGUUUGGGAUAUGGGCAAGUUUAUAUUUUUGUCUGUAAAACAAACUAUUCUACUGUGUCAGGCAGUUGAGUGCAUUUGAAACCUCGAUUUUUCCCUAAGACCAGCUUUGUGCCAAGAUUUUAUGUUCUAUCUACGGUAUGUCUCUUUCGUCCCAAAUGGCACCCUAUCCCCUAUAUAGUGCACUGCUUUUGACCAGAAUCCUAUGGGCCCUGAUCAAAAGUAGUGCGCUUUAUAGGGAAUAGGGUGCCAUUUUAGAAACACCUGGAUCAAUUUGUGUGUAAUGAAUUAGCCUGGAUCCAGAUCUGUUGGUACAUCUUGCCAAUCCAUAUGGUCAUUGACAUGGCAAGAUAGCACAAACAGAUUCAGGACUCAGGCUAGCUUCUUUUUACAUCUUCUGCACAUAUUCCCUGUAUGGAUGAUUGCAUUCUCUGCCCAUUUGUCUGAAUUGUAUUUGAACUCAUUACCUCAACACUUAUCUGGGCAACUAAGUGUGCACAUUCUUCAAUUAUUAUUUUGGACAGUCAUUGAUAUUAUGCUCAUUUUAAUGUACUAUAUCGAAUCUAGGUAUGUCUUGUUGGUAUGACCAGGUUUAUUCAAAACCCAAACAGUCAUUCCCACAUCAAUGUUAUGCCGUUCAUCAUCCUAAGACCAUUGCAAUAAAUGAGGUGUUAUUUUCCCAUUCAUAGUCAAAAUCAUCAAGUUCUUUUCAUCAAUAAAAUGGCUUAAAUACA